UGAUCGGCUACAGACUACUCCCUAAAGAUAAAGAACGGUUUACGUAGGUCUCGUGCUCGUGGUUAGAAACACGUCGACGAAUGUAGGUCCUUACAUUGGGAUCUGCCAGAAACACGUUGUAGAAGGUGAUACGUCAGCGACUAGAGUGAGGAACCUUAGAGCUUUCAUGACUCUCUAACGCGUGAAGGUUUUCAUUUGUACCAUCCCAGUCAUACCAAAUUGUUUUAUAACACCUAUCCCAGUAGCCAUUUGUUUCAUAAUAAAUUUACUACGUACUGGGAAUAAGAUCAUCCCAGCUAUUAACCUUACAUUGUUUUUUUUAAGCUUUACCUGAGUGGUACUAGUUAAUUUACUAUAAUUGGUGUAGAUACUUGAUUCAAAGAUUGUGAUAGGGUUACUCUUUUAUCAAAUCUCGGUUUUUCUGACCUCGUAACAUCUCAAACCUUUACCAACCAUUAUAUUAAAACUUGUACAAGAAGACGUGAUUACACAUCGUAGUUGAUGGAAGAAGCGUUGUAAAGAGUGAUAGACUUUUGUCUACAAACAAAUGAACUUUUGUAAGAGGACAUUCAAAGAUUUCUUAAUUUACUUGUUGCCUAAGUGGAUACCUCCUACUUCACUACGCAUGAUAAAAGUGUAGAGUUUCGGUGUCCGGGCCUACCAAACAUACGUUAAAAGAUGUUCUUUAUAACCGUAAACCUCCCAGUUUUCCAAUGUGUUCUUCAGACGUUGCACUGUUUGAGCUCCUUUUAUUGUUUCCCCCAUGUUACUGUGGUAUCAUGUGAAUUAAGGUUUCUACGAACGAUUUUAGAUUUCUACUAAAAUGUUCUCUAAUAAAAUGGUUGGGUUUAAGUGAUGGGCUUUGAUUGAAAAACCACUACUAAUCCGUGCAAACACUACCGGGGCUUCAGAAGAAGUCUUUACACACGGACAAGCACGGCACCUACAAGUCGGUUCCGCUUUCCACCAAUGCAAGGACUACAAGAACUAUUAUUGGAAGUCCUUGCCUCACCUUACAUACGUAGCCAUGAUAGGUCCAGUGUUUAGUGAAAUGUGUUUAAGUCCUGCACAUGUACCUACAGUUCUUCUAUGGAUGUACCCUGGGCUUCUAUAAAAACGAAGGCCCCGUGCACUAAAAAAACGAAGGCGCCGUGCAGUAAAAGAGUAAACCCCUCACUCUUCGUGUGUCUAUAAACAAAGGGCUCCACAAAAGUGUACUGAAGGCGAGAGUAGUCCUCCCAACCCAGUUUUAUGGAUUUUCUACUAGUACAUCACGGGGUUACCACGAUGAUCAGGGUGAGGGUGCUAACCAGAUGUAGGUGGCAGGUUGUGGCGGUGAAGGGGGUAUGACCGGAAGGUCAAGACCAGGCGGCGGAGGGAGGUUUAGAUCUCCACGGGUGGAGUGGUAGCUCACGGGGAACGGAGACAGCAGCUCCCGGUGGGAGGAACGACCUCUGUAGGUCUAGGCGGAGAGGUUCCAGCCGCUGAAGGUAUAGGCGGAGGGAGUGGCACGUCUCCACGCGUUAGAAUGAAACCUCUAAGGCUCCUCGUUCUAGUCACUGACGUCUCUUCUAGAACGUGUUUCUGAAGGGUCGCAAUGUAAGUACCUGCAUACGUCAACGUGGUUCUAACCGCGGGUAUGAGACAUCGGUAAAGGGUUCUUGACGUUUUGGGAGGAGUCUGAAACCGCCCAGCACGUGGGUUAACGACAGCAACCCUUCCAAACGGUCUUACUACUCCGGGUACGAAGACGGUCGUUUUACGGUUUCGAGGCGGUGGCGCUCUAUCCUUUGUACGAGUAAUUCUGAUUCAACAACAGUUCUAGCGGAGGCUCACGUUACUGGAUUUCACGAAUCUAGCCGUACCAACAACCCCGAAGCUACUAUUCGAGAACGUUCUAUUCAAAGGAUACGAAUUUUGGGAGCCCGGGCACACCAUUGACGAUAGACUUGACGAAGUCCCUCCUAACGUGACCACUGAGCCUACUACUUAUCUAGAUGAGUACGUUUUCAAGUACCUGCAGUUCUCUUAGCGUAGAUACUUCAAACGUGGUAGGUACUUGACCAGGGUACUCAUCUACAUUAGUAGUAGGUUCAGUAGCCACGUGAGGAGUGUCUACACCAAGAGUAUCGUCAGCGGGUGCUUCCCCGGCUCCAAAAAGUCGGUUCCUAUGAAGAGAACGUUCUCGAAUAGGAGCUGCAGGUCGUUGUUACACCUUUAUUAUUGAACUCCAGCUCCGUGAUCCUCCACUAGCUCUACUGUUGGAAUCAGAAUUACUCGUUCAUAGGAUAGAGCUCCACCGCCUCGAAACCGUACAACGAAGGCUAUCUUACCCGGAGCAGUAAGGCCGUGUGGAAGCGUCCCUGUAAAUACCCCACGUACUGAGCAACUACAGACUGCGCCCUAAAGAUAAAUAACGGUUUACGUAGUUCUCGUGACCGGGUUAGAACCACGUGGACGAAUGUAGGUCCUUGCAUUGGAACCAGUCAGAAACACGUUGUAGAAGGUGAUACGUCAACGAUUAGAGUGAGGAGCCUUAGAGGUUUCAUAACUCUCUAACACGUGAACGUUUUUAUUUGUACCAACCCAGCCAUACCAAAUUGUUUUAUAAUACCUAUCCCAGUAGCCAUUUGUU
This 2635-nucleotide ribosomal RNA is filed under the name Triticum aestivum (bread wheat). RNAcentral describes it as "partial small subunit ribosomal RNA". Lineage: Eukaryota; Viridiplantae; Streptophyta; Magnoliopsida; Poales; Poaceae. The record is from RNAcentral.